GGAAGCGAAAGUGAUCAUUCACCCCUUUGAUCAUCAGGGGUCAUUUGGAGAAUUGGAUUGGCUAGGCAGUAUCUCCUGCCCUCAUUCCUCCAUGCAUCCCUCUUCAGCUGUAUGCUUGGCUGAAGAGGAUGGUCUUUCCUAAUAGAAGAAGACUGUUUCUUGGUCAAGGAUAUAUGCACAGUCCUCUCUCCUGUUAGAUAGAACGAACCUUCAACUCCCAAAGAUAGUCUCUAGAAACUAGAAGAACUCUAUUUUGGGGCUCCUGAAGGAAGGAGAGUUUACCUAGCUAU
Rattus norvegicus (Norway rat) is the source of this 290-nucleotide non-coding RNA. Lineage: Eukaryota; Metazoa; Chordata; Mammalia; Rodentia; Muridae. The record is from Rfam.